UAUUAUUCUAAGAUUAAUAAUUUCCUGGGUUAGUAAUAGAUAUUUACUUAAAAGCUAAAAAAUUUGGCGGUAAUUAAUCUCUUCAGAGGAACUUGUUUUUUAAUCGAUAAACCGCGAAAAAUCUUGCUUAUUUUUGUAAAGUUUGUAUACCAUCAUUAUCAGGUAAUUUUAAAAGGGUUAAUUACUAAAAAUAAAUGUUUAUUAAAAUUAGAUCAUGGUGCAGCUUAUGGAUAAGUUAAAAUGAGUUACAAUAAAUUAUUUUAAACGGAAAAUUGAAGGAAUUUUCAUUUAGAAGGAGGAUUUGAUAGUAUCUUAAAUUUAAUAUGUUUAGGAGAUGAAAGCUCUAAAUUGUGUACAUAU
This 360-nucleotide ribosomal RNA is filed under the name Pinnixa sp. 1 EPT-2016. RNAcentral describes it as "partial 12S ribosomal RNA". The record is from RNAcentral. Lineage: Eukaryota; Metazoa; Arthropoda; Malacostraca; Decapoda; Pinnotheridae.